Molecule: transfer RNA, 86 nt
Filed under: Agromyces indicus
Lineage: Bacteria; Bacillati; Actinomycetota; Actinomycetes; Micrococcales; Microbacteriaceae
Also listed under: 1 other name
Description: tRNA-Asp
Source: RNAcentral
CGAUGAGGGUGGCGGUGCCGUCGCCGUUGUCGACGGCGGCGACGAGGCCCUCGGCGGUCGAGCGGUCGGCACGCUUCGCGUUGCCC